This 467-nucleotide ribosomal RNA is filed under the name uncultured bacterium. RNAcentral's name for it is "partial 16S ribosomal RNA". It matches the Rfam family "Bacterial small subunit ribosomal RNA", at positions 28 to 506 of the family's 1533-position model. The record is from RNAcentral.
GACGAACGCUGGCGGCGUGCUUAACACAUGCAAGUCGAACGGAAAGGCCCUGCUUUUGUGGGGUGCUCGAGUGGCGAACGGGUGAGUAACACGUGAGUAACCUGCCCUUGACUUUGGGAUAACUUCAGGAAACUGGGGCUAAUACCGGAUAGGAUCUCUUGCUGCAUGGUGGGGGUUGGAAAGUUUCGGCGUUUGGGGAUGGACUCGCGGCUUAUCAGCUUGUUGGUGGGGUAGUGGCUUACCAAGGCUUUGACGGGUAGCCGGCCUGGGAGGGUGACCGGCCACAGUGGGACAGGGAUACGGCCCAGACUCAUACGGGAGGCAGGAGUGGGGAAUAUUGCACAAAGGGCGGAGGGAUGAUGCAGCAACGCCGCGUGCGGGAUGACGGCCUUCGGGUUGUAAACCGCUUUCGACUGUGACGAAGCGUGAGUGACGGUAAUGGGUAAAGAAGCACCGGCUAACUACGU